UUUGACCGUGCGAAGGUAGCAUAGUCAGUAGUCUUUUAAUUGGAGGCUUGUAUGAAUGGUUGGACGAGGGACAAGCUGUCUCUUUUACGUGGUUUGAAUUUAACUUUUAAGUGAAAAGGCUUAAAUUAUUUAGUGGGACGAUAAGACCCUAUAAAACUUUAUACAGGUUGAGUUAAAUUUGUGAUUUAGGUGAAAAGUAGUUUUAUUUGACUUGUAUUUUGUUGGGGCGACAUAGAUAUAAUAUGUAACUGUCUAUUAAAUUUAAUAGUGUUAAUUAGUUUUUGAUCCUUCUUUGUGGAUUAAAAGAAUAAGUUACUUUAGGGAUAACAGCGUGAUUUUCCUUGAGAGUU
This 350-nucleotide ribosomal RNA is filed under the name Macrobrachium vollenhovenii. RNAcentral's name for it is "partial small subunit ribosomal RNA". It matches the Rfam family "Bacterial large subunit ribosomal RNA", at positions 1941 to 2500 of the family's 2925-position model. Lineage: Eukaryota; Metazoa; Arthropoda; Malacostraca; Decapoda; Palaemonidae. The record is from RNAcentral.